This is a long non-coding RNA of Oncorhynchus keta (chum salmon), 1576 nucleotides long. RefSeq lists it as uncharacterized. The record is from RefSeq and is a predicted model, not a curated record. NCBI's taxonomy places the organism in Eukaryota, Metazoa, Chordata, Actinopteri, Salmoniformes, Salmonidae. The transcript has 3 exons.
AGGAAGAAUCAGUCAACAAAGGCCAAGAGACUUGCCCAAUCAGACCCCUUGCCAGUACACUGACACUUAGGGACUAAGGGUGACAGUUAUGGAGUACAGUCAAUUUUGGAUUGAAAUUAAGUAAGGCUUAGUACCAGAGAGGACAGUUAAAUCUGUACUCCGCCAGUGUUAGGGAAGUGUAGACCAAAGCAGAAUGGUGAGGUUUAACCAUAGCGAUAUUACAGGGUGGUUGCUAUGGUGUUUCUAGGUGAUACUACAAGGAGUGUGGCUAUGCUACUGCACCAUGGUAAUAAAGUAGACUUGGGCCAUAUACCAUAUACCGAGGUAUUUGGAAAUGGCCAUGGGAUUUUUAUUCAAUACCGUCAAUAUCGUUUAAACUAUUUCUUUAAAUAAAUGUGAAUAUUUGUAGCUACUUUAAGUAAAUACCUGCAGUCAACUUGUGCAAUACAUUAAGAGAUAAAGUAGAUUGAGUUCUUCAUUUUACCUGUCACAUUAUUAUGAAGCUUACAGUAGUCUCCAGUCACAUGUCACGUGGCGUUUGUUUACAAGCACACAGCGACAAGAGACCAGAGCCUUGUGAGUCACUCACUGAGCAGCACUUGCCAGGUAAUCAAAUCAAAUACAUUUUUAUUUGUCACAUGCGCUGAAUACAACAGGUCUAGACCUGACAGUGAAAUGCUUUCUUACAGGCCCUUAAGCAACAAUGCAGUUUCAAGAAAAAUACCUAAAACAAUAAAGAGAAGCAGUAAAUAACAACAGCGAGGCUUUAUACAGGGGGUACUGGUACAGAGUCAAUGUGGAGGCUAUAUACAGGGGGUACUGGUACAGAGUCAAUGUGGAGGCUAUAUACAGGGGGUACUGGUACAGAGUCAAUGUGGAGGCUAUAUACAGGGGGUACCGGUACAGAGUCAAUGUGGAGGCUAUAUACAGGGGGUACUGGUACAGAGUCAAUGUGGAGGCUAUAUACAGGGGGUACUGGUACAGAGUCAAUGUGGAGGCUAUAUACAGGGGGUACUGGUACAGAGUCAAUGUGGAGGCUAUAUACAGGGGGUACUGGUACAGAGUCAAUGUGGAGGCUAUAUACAGGGGGUACCGGUACAGAGUCAAUGUGGAGGCUAUAUACAGGGGGUACUGGUACAGAGUCAAUGUGGAGGCUAUAUACAGGGGGUACUGGUACAGAGUCAAUGUGGAGGCUAUAUACAGGGGGUACUGGUACAGAGUCAAUGUGGAGGCUAUAUACAGGGGGUACUGGUACAGAGUCAAUGUGGAGGCUAUAUACAGGGGGUACUGGUACAGAGUCAAUGUGGAGGCUAUAUACAGGGGGUACUGGUACAGAGUCAAUGUGGAGGCUAUAUACAGGGGGUACUGGUACAGAGUCAAUGUGGAGGCUAUAUACAGGGGGUACUGGUACAGAGUCAAUGUGGAGGCUAUAUACAGGGGGUACUGGUACAGAGUCAAUGUGGAGGCUAUAUACAGGGGGUACCGGUACAGAGUCAAUGUGGAGGCUAUAUACAGGGGGUACCGGUACAGAGUCAAUGUGGAGGCUAUAUACAGGGGUUACCGGUACAGAGUCAAU